UACGUAGGUGGCAAGCGUUAUCCGGAUUUAUUGGGCGUAAAGGGAACGCAGGCGGUCUUUUAAGUCUGACGUGAAAGCCUUCGGCUUAACCGGAGUAGUGCAUUGGAAACUGGGAGACUUGAGUGCAGAAGAGGAGAGUGGAACUCCAUGUGUAGCGGUGAAAUGCGUAGAUAUAUGGAAGAACACCAGUGGCGAAAGCGGCUCUCUGGUCUGUAACUGACGCUGAGGUUCGAAAGCGUGGGUAGCAAACAGG
RNAcentral lists this ribosomal RNA (253 nucleotides) under uncultured bacterium. RNAcentral's name for it is "partial 16S ribosomal RNA". It matches the Rfam family "Bacterial small subunit ribosomal RNA", at positions 524 to 776 of the family's 1533-position model. The record is from RNAcentral.